UUGAACGCUGGCGGCAUGCCUUACACAUGCAAGUCGAACGGUAACGGGUCUUCGGAUGCUGACGAGUGGCGAACGGGUGAGUAAUACAUCGGAACGUGCCCGAUCGUGGGGGAUAACGCAGCGAAAGCUGUGCUAAUACUGCAUACGAUCUACGGAUGAAAGCGGGGGAUCGCAAGACCUCGCGCGGACGGAGCGGCCGAUGGCAGAUUAGGUAGUUGGUGGGAUAAAAGCUUACCAAGCCGACGAUCUGUAGCUGGUCUGAGAGGACGACCAGCCACACUGGGACUGAGACACGGCCCAGACUCCUACGGGAGGCAGCAGUGGGGAAUUUUGGACAAUGGGCGAAAGCCUGAUCCAGCCAUGCCGCGUGCAGGAUGAAGGCCUUCGGGUUGUAAACUGCUUUUGUACGGAACGAAAAAGUCUUCUCUAAUACAGGGGGCGAAUGACGGUACCGUAAGAAUAAGCACCGGCUAACUACGU
This 480-nucleotide ribosomal RNA is filed under the name uncultured bacterium. RNAcentral describes it as "bacterial SSU rRNA". It matches the Rfam family "Bacterial small subunit ribosomal RNA", at positions 30 to 506 of the family's 1533-position model. The record is from RNAcentral.